This 253-nucleotide ribosomal RNA is filed under the name uncultured bacterium. Its description in RNAcentral is "partial 16S ribosomal RNA". It matches the Rfam family "Bacterial small subunit ribosomal RNA", at positions 524 to 776 of the family's 1533-position model. The record is from RNAcentral.
UACGAAGGGGGCUAGCGUUGCUCGGAAUUACUGGGCGUAAAGGGAGCGUAGGCGGAUAGUUUAGUCAGAGGUGAAAGCCCAGGGCUCAACCUUGGAAUUGCCUUUGAUACUGGCUAUCUUGAGUAUGGGAGAGGUGUGUGGAACUCCGAGUGUAGAGGUGAAAUUCGUAGAUAUUCAGAAGAACACCAGUGGCGAAGGCGACACACUGGCCCAUUACUGACGCUGAGGCUCGAAAGCGUGGGGAGCAAACAGG